CCCCGCACAAGCAGCGGAGCGUGUGGUUUAAUUCGAUGUUACACGAAGAACCUUACCAGGGUUUGACAUGCAAGUGGUAGGAAGCCGAAAGGUGACCGACCCUUCGGGGAGCUUGCACAGGUGCUGCAUGGCUGUCGUCAGCUCGUGUCGUGAGAUGUUCGGUUAAGUCCGCUAACGAGCGCAACCCUCGCUGUGUGUUAUAUGUGUCACACGGGACUGCCGGUCUUAAGCCGGAGGAAGGUGGGGAUGAUGUCAAGUCCUCAUGGCCCUUAUGUCCAGGGCUACACACGUGCUACAAUGGCCGGUACAACGAGUUGCGAGUCGGUGACGGCGAGCUAAUCUCUUAAAGCCAAUCUCAGUUCGGAUUGUAGGCUGCAACUCGCCUACAUGAAGUCGGAAUCGCUAGUAAUCGCGGAUCAGCACGCCGCGGUGAAUACGUUCCCGGGCCUU
This 450-nucleotide ribosomal RNA is filed under the name uncultured Leptolinea sp. Its description in RNAcentral is "bacterial SSU rRNA". It matches the Rfam family "Bacterial small subunit ribosomal RNA", at positions 920 to 1378 of the family's 1533-position model. The record is from RNAcentral. Lineage: Bacteria; Bacillati; Chloroflexota; Anaerolineae; Anaerolineales; Anaerolineaceae.